This 253-nucleotide ribosomal RNA is filed under the name uncultured bacterium. RNAcentral describes it as "partial 16S ribosomal RNA". It matches the Rfam family "Bacterial small subunit ribosomal RNA", at positions 524 to 776 of the family's 1533-position model. The record is from RNAcentral.
UACGUAGGGGGCGAGCGUUGUCCGGAAUCAUUGGGCGUAAAGCGCGUGUAGGCGGCCCGGUAAGUCCGCUGUGAAAGUCCAGGGCUCAACCCUGGGAUGCCGGUGGAUACUGUCGGGCUCGAGUCCGGAAGAGGCGAGUGGAAUUCCUGGUGUAGCGGUGAAAUGCGCAGAUAUCAGGAGGAACACCAAUGGCGAAGGCAGCUCGCUGGGACGUGACUGACGCUGAGGCGCGAAAGCGUGGGGAGCAAACAGG